This 2904-nucleotide ribosomal RNA is filed under the name Escherichia coli DEC11A. RNAcentral's name for it is "bacterial LSU rRNA". It matches the Rfam family "Bacterial large subunit ribosomal RNA". The record is from RNAcentral. Lineage: Bacteria; Pseudomonadati; Pseudomonadota; Gammaproteobacteria; Enterobacterales; Enterobacteriaceae.
UUAAGCGACUAAGCGUACACGGUGGAUGCCCUGGCAGUCAGAGGCGAUGAAGGACGUGCUAAUCUGCGAUAAGCGUCGGUAAGGUGAUAUGAACCGUUAUAACCGGCGAUUUCCGAAUGGGGAAACCCAGUGUGAUUCGUCACACUAUCAUUAACUGUAUCCAUAGGUUAAUGAGGCAAACCGGGGGAACUGAAACAUCUAAGUACCCCGAGGAAAAGAAAUCAACCGAGAUUCCCCCAGUAGCGGCGAGCGAACGGGGAGCAGCCCAGAGCCUGAAUCAGUGUGUGUGUUAGUGGAAGCGUCUGGAAAGGCGCGCGAUACAGGGUGACAGCCCCGUACACAAAAAUGCACAUGCUGUGAGCUCGAUGAGUAGGGCGGGACACGUGGUAUCCUGUCUGAAUAUGGGGGGACCAUCCUCCAAGGCUAAAUACUCCUGACUGACCGAUAGUGAACCAGUACCGUGAGGGAAAGGCGAAAAGAACCCCGGCGAGGGGAGUGAAAAGGAACCUGAAACCGUGUACGUACAAGCAGUGGGAGCACAGAGCAAUCUGUGUGACUGCGUACCUUUUGUAUAAUGGGUCAGCGACUUAUAUUCUGUAGCAAGGUUAACCGAAUAGGGGAGCCGAAGGGAAACCGAGUCUUAACUGGGCGUUAAGUUGCAGGGUAUAGACCCGAAACCCGGUGAUCUAGCCAUGGGCAGGUUGAAGGUUGGGUAACACUAACUGGAGGACCGAACCGACUAAUGUUGAAAAAUUAGCGGAUGACUUGUGGCUGGGGGUGAAAGGCCAAUCAAACCGGGAGAUAGCUGGUUCUCCCCGAAAGCUAUUUAGGUAGCGCCUCGUGAAUUCAUCUCCGGGGGUAGAGCACUGUUUCGGCAAGGGGGUCAUCCCGACUUACCAACCCGAUGCAAACUGCGAAUACCGGAGAAUGUUAUCACGGGAGACACACGGCGGGUGCUAACGUCCGUCGUGAAGAGGGAAACAACCCAGACCGCCAGCUAAGGUCCCAAAGUCAUGGUUAAGUGGGAAACGAUGUGGGAAGGCCCAGACAGCCAGGAUGUUGGCUUAGAAGCAGCCAUCAUUUAAAGAAAGCGUAAUAGCUCACUGGUCGAGUCGGCCUGCGCGGAAGAUGUAACGGGGCUAAACCAUGCACCGAAGCUGCGGCAGCGACGCUGAUGCGUUGUUGGGUAGGGGAGCGUUCUGUAAGCCUGUGAAGGUGUGCUGUGAGGCAUGCUGGAGGUAUCAGAAGUGCGAAUGCUGACAUAAGUAACGAUAAAGCGGGUGAAAAGCCCGCUCGCCGGAAGACCAAGGGUUCCUGUCCAACGUUAAUCGGGGCAGGGUGAGUCGACCCCUAAGGCGAGGCCGAAAGGCGUAGUCGAUGGGAAACAGGUUAAUAUUCCUGUACUUGGUGUUACUGCGAAGGGGGGACGGAGAAGGCUAUGUUGGCCGGGCGACGGUUGUCCCGGUUUAAGCGUGUAGGCUGGUUUUCCAGGCAAAUCCGGAAAAUCAAGGCUGAGGCGUGAUGACGAGGCACUACGGUGCUGAAGCAACAAAUGCCCUGCUUCCAGGAAAAGCCUCUAAGCAUCAGGUAACAUCAAAUCGUACCCCAAACCGACACAGGUGGUCAGGUAGAGAAUACCAAGGCGCUUGAGAGAACUCGGGUGAAGGAACUAGGCAAAAUGGUGCCGUAACUUCGGGAGAAGGCACGCUGAUAUGUAGGUGAAGUCCCUCGCGGAUGGAGCUGAAAUCAGUCGAAGAUACCAGCUGGCUGCAACUGUUUAUUAAAAACACAGCACUGUGCAAACACGAAAGUGGACGUAUACGGUGUGACGCCUGCCCGGUGCCGGAAGGUUAAUUGAUGGGGUCAGCGCAAGCGAAGCUCUUGAUCGAAGCCCCGGUAAACGGCGGCCGUAACUAUAACGGUCCUAAGGUAGCGAAAUUCCUUGUCGGGUAAGUUCCGACCUGCACGAAUGGCGUAAUGAUGGCCAGGCUGUCUCCAUCCGAGACUCAGUGAAAUUGAACUCGCUGUGAAGAUGCAGUGUACCCGCGGCAAGACGGAAAGACCCCGUGAACCUUUACUAUAGCUUGACACUGAACAUUGAGCCUUGAUGUGUAGGAUAGGUGGGAGGCUUUGAAGUGUGGACGCCAGUCUGCAUGGAGCCGGCCUUGAAAUACCACCCUUUAAUGUUUGAUGUUCUAACGUUGACCCGUAAUCCGGGUUGCGGACAGUGUCUGGUGGGUAGUUUGACUGGGGCGGUCUCCUCCUAAAGAGUAACGGAGGAGCACGAAGGUUGGCUAAUCCUGGUCGGACAUCAGGAGGUUAGUGCAAUGGCAUAAGCCAGCUUGACUGCGAGCGUGACGGCGCGAGCAGGUGCGAAAGCAGGUCAUAGUGAUCCGGUGGUUCUGAAUGGAAGGGCCAUCGCUCAACGGAUAAAAGGUACUCCGGGGAUAACAGGCUGAUACCGCCCAAGAGUUCAUAUCGACGGCGGUGUUUGGCACCUCGAUGUCGGCUCAUCACAUCCUGGGGCUGAAGUAGGUCCCAAGGGUAUGGCUGUUCGCCAUUUAAAGUGGUACGCGAGCUGGGUUUAGAACGUCGUGAGACAGUUCGGUCCCUAUCUGCCGUGGGCGCUGGAGAACUGAGGGGGGCUGCUCCUAGUACGAGAGGACCGGAGUGGACGCAUCACUGGUGUUCGGGUUGUCAUGCCAAUGGCACUGCCCGGUAGCUAAAUGCGGAAGAGAUAAGUGCUGAAAGCAUCUAAGCACGAAACUUGCCCCGAGAUGAGUUCUCCCUGACUCCUUGAGAGUCCUGAAGGAACGUUGAAGACGACGACGUUGAUAGGCCGGGUGUGUAAGCGCAGCGAUGCGUUGAGCUAACCGGUACUAAUGAACCGUGAGGCUUAACCUU